GUGGGGAAUAUUGGACAAUGGGCGAAAGCCUGAUCCAGCCAUGCCGCGUGUGUGAAGAAGGUCUUCGGAUUGUAAAGCACUUUAAGUUGGGAGGAAGGGCAGUAAGUUAAUACCUUGCUGUUUUGACGUUACCGACAGAAUAAGCACCGGCUAACUUCGUGCCAGCAGCCGCGGUAAUACGAAGGGUGCAAGCGUUAAUCGGAAUUACUGGGCGUAAAGCGCGCGUAGGUGGUUCAGUAAGUUGGAAGUGAAAUCCCCGGGCUCAACCUGGGAACUGCUUUCAAAACUGCUGAGCUAGAGUACGGUAGAGGGUGGUGGAAUUUCCUGUGUAGCGGUGAAAUGCGUAGAUAUAGGAAGGAACACCAGUGGCGAAGGCGACCACCUGGACUGAUACUGACACUGAGGUGCGAAAGCGUGGGGAGCAAACAGGAUUAGAUACCCUUGUAGUCC
Molecule: ribosomal RNA, 450 nt
Filed under: uncultured bacterium
Lineage: Bacteria
Description: partial 16S ribosomal RNA
Rfam family: Bacterial small subunit ribosomal RNA
Source: RNAcentral